CAACCCAUGCCGAAACGCCAUCUUUAACCUUAGGCGAAGCUCUAGCACCCUGCCUUCUCUCUCUCCCUUCCUGUUUCGCUCUUGUGUUUUGCUCUGAGCCGCCGCCACCACCGGUCCCUCUUCGUCGUGUUCCUACCACAAGCCGGCCCCGUUCGUUAGGAGCAGGUGCGGGAGGGGCCGCCGGCGGUGGAGCAGCCGACGGCGCCGCCGGACGAGGCUGGAGGCCCGCCGCAUGGUGCUCACGAAGUUGGCCACCAUGCGGCUGUUCAAGCGGUUCCCGGUCACCUUGUUCCUGCUGACGCGGCGGCUGACCGUGUUCAUGGCGCGGACGGAGCUCCUUGUAGAGCUCCUGUUCGUAGAGUCCGUUUAGGAUGACCUCGGCCUUUGCAGAGGGAGAAUACGGGUCGAACUAGGCCUAAGAAGUAGUUCUGUUCCACGGUGGGGAAGUUUUACUGUCAGAACCUGAUUGUUGUACCAGCUCAAGAAACGGACUAGUUUUAAGCCUCUGGCAACUAUCUCACUUGGUGUUUCAGACAUAAACCUAUGUACAAUACAGGGACCUAGGACAGUUAAAGUCGAGUACUCUAAUUGAACAUUUUAAACGAACCUAGACUGACAUGAGUUGGUCCGUUAUCAAACAUUUAUGACUCGUCAAUACCUAAUACUUUAAUCAACUUAUCAUAGUCGACAGGUCCAAGAC
Molecule: ribosomal RNA, 700 nt
Filed under: Triticum aestivum (bread wheat)
Lineage: Eukaryota; Viridiplantae; Streptophyta; Magnoliopsida; Poales; Poaceae
Description: partial small subunit ribosomal RNA
Source: RNAcentral